RNAcentral lists this ribosomal RNA (228 nucleotides) under uncultured bacterium. RNAcentral's name for it is "partial 16S ribosomal RNA". It matches the Rfam family "Bacterial small subunit ribosomal RNA", at positions 1274 to 1500 of the family's 1533-position model. The record is from RNAcentral.
CAAAAAUAAACGUCCCAGUUCGGAUUGUAGUCUGCAACUCGACUACAUGAAGCUGGAAUCGCUAGUAAUCGCGAAUCAGAAUGUCGCGGUGAAUACGUUCCCGGGUCUUGUACACACCGCCCGUCACACCAUGAGAGUCGGGAACACCCGAAGUCCGUAGUCUAACCGCAAGGGGGGCGCGGCCGAAGGUGGGUCCGGUAAUUGGGGGUGAAGUCGUAACAAGGUAAC